UGGGGGAAACAAGACAAGAAUUAUGUUGAAAUUAAUUUGCUGAGAAGCACAAUUAUCUUUCAGAGUAGCCCUGCUUUCAUUCAGUGCCAGCUUUCCCAUAAUGCUUAUGUAGGAAGUAUGUGAAAUUUAACUAUCUCUGAAUUUAAUGAUACAGACAGGAAUUUAUACAAUACGACCCUAUAAGACAUUUAUUUUACAUUAUAUGGCUGACACUGUGACAAAUAAAGCAGCAUUUACAAAUGAUACAACACUGCAAGUCUUCGUCUUUUAUUUAAUAUUGCAGUUACACUGAUUUAUGAGUAGGUUGUUGCAAUACAGCCUCCAGCCACAGGAGGCAGCACUAAUAUCGUUCAGCGCAGGUGAGCACACCUGAAAUUACGCGCCAUAUUUGAAUUUACAAUGGCCGUAAUUACCUCAAUGGAGACCAGCUGUUCUCUUUGGAGUGAGUUGACGCUUUGUUACUUCGCGCCGGCCUGGAAUAGAUUUUUUUCCAUCCUGAAACAUCAUUAAGACGACCGGCUUGCCUCGAAACAUACCAGGAACUGGAAAUAUUAUGCCUCCAGCUUCCCACUGUGACCGGAGAGCAGCUAGCCACAGUCUGUGACUUCACCCAGCCCAUAAACUGCCGGUGUCAUUGCUCAAGGCCCAGGCCAGUAAUGCACAGCUGGGAUACCAUGUGUUUGAACAGCCCCCAGAUCUUCUACGUAUAGCUCCGAUCAACACCCAGCAGAAGUCCUCUAAAAGCAGUUGUUCUGGACCAUGCCUCUGGAACCACCAAUGGUCUCAAGCACUCAUCAUGAGGUAUGUGUUAUUGACCACGGAGGACAGGUAGGACUUUUUGACGUCUCACACCAACACCAGUAAUCCGCAGCAAGCAGCCAUACUGUCUACACAGCGAGAGGAAAUAAUAAUACGACGUCGCCCACCAUAUAACGAUUAAAGGUAUGGCCAUUUUCUUCCUACUAUGGCGGCAGGCCUGCAUGGACUUUGCUUUGUGACAAAGGCUGUGCAUUGAACAGUCAAAACUAACUUACAAUAUGAUGAAUAUGAAGUGACAGGCGGAUUUAUACAUUUAAACAAAUAUAUUAUUAUCUUGUGAAUGGCGCGCAGCGGUGAGGAAGUUGAGAGAAAAACA
Lates calcarifer (barramundi perch) is the source of this 1135-nucleotide long non-coding RNA. RefSeq lists it as uncharacterized. The transcript is spliced from 4 exons. The record is from RefSeq and is a predicted model, not a curated record. Lineage: Eukaryota; Metazoa; Chordata; Actinopteri; Centropomidae.